AGUUUGUAAUUGCCCGGCCAUCAUCGGAUGCACACAUGUCCACAAUCAGGAAGCCCCCCUCCUCAAAGGCAUUGAUCUGGUGAAAAGUUGACAGCGCCUUGGCAAGAUAUUUAACGGGGCUCACCUGAAACAUAAAGGAGUACUAGAUUACUGGCACGAACUCCUGACACAUCGGUGACCCAUCUCCAUUGACCCUGAUUGUAUUUAAGACUGGUUUCAGCAGCUUCUACACACCAAUCUGUCAGCCAAUGUCUUCUUUUUUUGCUACCUCCAGCUUGAUCAACCCUUUGGAUAAUCUUUAUCCAGACUGCACUGACCACCACCCACACCAGAUUCUGGAUUUUUCCACCUUCAUUUAAACCCACAGAACACUCACUUGGGAGCUCAAACCUGGACAGGAAACGUUGGAAGAAGUUUUUGCAAGGAUCCGGCAUGGUGACCGUCCCGAACUCUGACACCACAAUUCGGUUGCGCUCUUGGUUG
Oryzias melastigma (Indian medaka) is the source of this 483-nucleotide long non-coding RNA. RefSeq lists it as uncharacterized. The record is from RefSeq and is a predicted model, not a curated record. Lineage: Eukaryota; Metazoa; Chordata; Actinopteri; Beloniformes; Adrianichthyidae. The transcript has 3 exons.